This 71-nucleotide transfer RNA is filed under the name uncultured marine thaumarchaeote KM3_48_E01. Its description in RNAcentral is "tRNA-Thr". It matches the Rfam family "tRNA". From Rfam's summary of the family: Transfer RNA (tRNA) molecules are approximately 80 nucleotides in length. Their secondary structure includes four short double-helical elements and three loops (D, anti-codon, and T loops). The record is from RNAcentral. Lineage: Archaea; Thermoproteati; Nitrososphaerota.
GCCAGUGUAGCUCAAUGUAGAGCACCCAACAUGUAAUUGGGAGGUUAUAGGUUCAAUUCCUACCGCUGGCU